AAAAAAACGCAUUAAAACUCGAAUUGUGUGAAAUGAAACACACCUGAAGUCUAUAAAUUAAGGUAAAAUAUGAAGCUAGAGUAUGGCAUUUGAAAACAGUUUUUAACAUUUAUGUAGAUUCAUUCUGGGUUAUUUGCAUUGUUGGAAGUUAUUAGCGAGUUGCCAUAGUGAUGAUAGCUGAACCCUGAACCUGAAUUCCCAACUUCCGUUUGACCUUAGGUAUUUAAGGGCCUAUCUGUUUAUGCUAAUGAGCAGAGCCCACGGUCUACAUUUAAUUACGAUAAGAUGUUUUAAAAAUUAAUCGCGUUUUAUUUCUUGUAUUUUGUUUGAAACCUCACCAAGUAUUAGUGUGCUCAAAUAUAAGAAACUUGCAUUCUAUUUCAUCCAAGGAGUCUAGAUCUAGUCUAGAUCUUGUAAAAAUAGCAAGACUAACCCAGUGUAAGGAGGAUUGCCAAUGAAAUCAGAAGAUGGCUGAGAUAAAGCGGCUGAGGAGAACAGAGACUUGUGAGUGGAAUAGGUUGGUGGAACUUGUGUACAGCCCUAUCUAUGUUCAAUGUCUCAGGUGGAAGUACAUUUAGUACAGUUUUCACGGAGAUCCAGCUUUUAUUCAAGGCUCAUCUUAAAAAGAAUGAUGGGGCUGCUGGGACAUAACUAAAAUCUACAUUCAACUGCUUGCAGAUCUCAAGAAGCCUGGGGUUCAAGAGUUACAGAGUUUCAUUUGUAGUAUACAACUUUAUUUUUUAACAUUAGUGUUUUUAUAAGUUGUUACUGAAAAAAUGCUUGCUGUGAAUUGUAAAAAUUUUGAAAACUAACACUAACAAUGUUUAUAAUUAAGUUUUGUUUUCAUAAUGUAAAAAAAUAAUUACAUUUUAAUUACGUAACUUAUUUUUCAGGGUAAUUUGAAUCAGCAAGAUAAUCCUAGAAUCAUUAGUUAUGUGCUUCAAAAAUGUUGGUCCAAACUAAUUUAAAUUAUUUUCUUUUUCAGUUUGAUCACUCAAGUAGUAAAGCUUUUUUUUUUUGAUACUUUAGAAAAUUGUUUUUAAACACUUAAGUAAUAUAAGAAAUUUGUUGUCACUUAUUUUUUUUUCCAGCAUACACUUAAGGCAUGGGUGUUUAUUCCUUGAUAAUUAAUACUAUUUUUCUUCUUGAAAGGGAUCGUAAUGAGACGAGGCUGAUUUCUUGUACUGUAGAUUUGUUACUUCACACUUAUUAUGAUUAUGUAACUGUUUUACAUUACUAUGUUGAAUGUAGAUUAUACAAAGGCUAAAUUUAGGUUGUCGCUAUGUAAUUUAUUUCUUUGGUCUAAUAAACAUAUUUUUAAAUUAUUGCAAAAAAAAUAUUUUUUUUUUACUUUGCCAUUCUCCUAAAUGUUUCUAUUUUAUUAGACAAAAUCAAAAUUCAUGUGGUGAUCUGAUUACUGUAUUUUAAUAAUUUAUAUUUCUUUUAGCAAACAUUGAAAUGUCUGUAUUGUCAGUAUUGUAACAUUGAAUUGUUUACU
Long non-coding RNA from Physella acuta, 1498 nucleotides. RefSeq lists it as uncharacterized. Lineage: Eukaryota; Metazoa; Mollusca; Gastropoda; Physidae. The record is from RefSeq and is a predicted model, not a curated record.